Molecule: ribosomal RNA, 468 nt
Filed under: uncultured bacterium
Lineage: Bacteria
Description: partial 16S ribosomal RNA
Rfam family: Bacterial small subunit ribosomal RNA
Source: RNAcentral
GACGAACGAGGGGGGAGGGAGGAACACAGGCAAGUCGAACGGAAAGGCCCUGCUUUUGUGGGGUGCUCGAGUGGCGAACGGGUGAGUAACACGUGAGUAACCUGCCCUUGACUUUGGGAUAACUUCAGGAAACUGGGGCUAAUACCGGAUAGGAGCUCCUGCUGCAUGGUGGGGGUUGGAAAGUUUCGGCGGUUGGGGAUGGACUCGCGGCUUAUCAGCUUGUUGGUGGGGUAGUGGCUUACCAAGGCUUUGACGGGUAGCCGGCCUGAGAGGGUGACCGGCCACAUUGGGACUGAGAUACGGCCCAGACUCCUACGGGAGGCAGCAGUGGGGAAUAUUGCACAAUGGGCGGAAGCCUGAUGCAGCAACGCCGCGUGCGGGAUGACGGCCUUCGGGUUGUAAACCGCUUUCGCCUGUGACGAAGCGUGAGUGACGGUAAUGGGUAAAGAAGCACCGGCUAACUACGUG